GACAGAGGGUGCAAACGUUGUUCGGAAUUACUGGGCGUAAAGCGUGUGUAGGCGGCUACAUAAGUCGGAUGUGAAAUCCCACGGCUCAACCGUGGAAGUGCAUCCGAAACGGCAUCGCUUGAGUCUCGGAGAGGAAGGUGGAAUGCUUGGUGUAGAGGUGAAAUUCGUAGAUAUCAAGCAGAACACCUGCGGCGAAGGCGGCCUUCUGGACGAUGACUGACGCUGAGACACGAAAGCGUGGGGAGCAAACAGG
Molecule: ribosomal RNA, 253 nt
Filed under: uncultured bacterium
Lineage: Bacteria
Description: partial 16S ribosomal RNA
Rfam family: Bacterial small subunit ribosomal RNA
Source: RNAcentral